RNAcentral lists this transfer RNA (77 nucleotides) under Chloroflexi bacterium RBG_19FT_COMBO_56_12. RNAcentral describes it as "tRNA-Val". It matches the Rfam family "tRNA". Rfam says of the family: Transfer RNA (tRNA) molecules are approximately 80 nucleotides in length. Their secondary structure includes four short double-helical elements and three loops (D, anti-codon, and T loops). The record is from RNAcentral. Lineage: Bacteria; Bacillati; Chloroflexota.
GGGCGGAUAGCUCAGUUGGUUAGAGCGCCUCUCUUACACAGAGGAGGUCGCAGGUUCGAGUCCUGUUCCGCCCAUCA